GCCGUCUUAGCUCAGUUGGUAGAGCGCAUCCAUGGUAAGGAUGAGGUCGCCGGUUCAACCCCGGCAGACGGCUCCA
RNAcentral lists this transfer RNA (76 nucleotides) under Candidatus Uhrbacteria bacterium. RNAcentral describes it as "tRNA-Thr". It matches the Rfam family "tRNA". From Rfam's summary of the family: Transfer RNA (tRNA) molecules are approximately 80 nucleotides in length. Their secondary structure includes four short double-helical elements and three loops (D, anti-codon, and T loops). Further hydrogen bonds mediate the characteristic L-shaped molecular structure. tRNAs have two regions of fundamental functional importance: the anti-codon, which is responsible for specific mRNA codon recognition, and the 3' end, to which the tRNAs corresponding amino acid is attached (by aminoacyl-tRNA synthetases). tRNAs cope with the degeneracy of the genetic code in two manners: having more than one tRNA (with a specific anti-codon) for a particular amino acid; and 'wobble' base-pairing, i.e. permitting non-standard base-pairing at the 3rd anti-codon position. The record is from RNAcentral. Lineage: Bacteria; Candidatus Uhriibacteriota.